Molecule: long non-coding RNA, 1546 nt
Filed under: Papio anubis (olive baboon)
Lineage: Eukaryota; Metazoa; Chordata; Mammalia; Primates; Cercopithecidae
Description: lncRNA (ENSPANG00000050971.1)
Source: RNAcentral
CUUUAUUCUAUCUUCCUUGUUUUUUUCCUAAUAUUCUUUUUUUUUUUUUCUUGAAUUCCACCCAGGGUACCACAUUCCAUUUAGCAGCCAUGUCUCUUUAGAGUCCCCUUGGACUCUAAAGGCUUUUGUAUUUUGAUAACAUUGAAAGUUUUGAGGGGUACUGAUUAGGUAUUUUGUAAAAUGUUGCUCCGGGGAUUAUUCUCAUAUUUUGGUCAUGAUUAAAGAGAAUUAAAGUGCCAUUCUCACCACAUCAUAUCAAACAUAUAGCUUAUCAACAUGACUUACUACCACUGAUUGAUAGUGACCUUGAUCAUCUGGCUACUGUCGUGUUAAUCUAAUUUCCCUACUGUAAAGUUUACUCUAUUUCCACUUUCCAUACUGAACUCCUAUGAAGGAAGUAACUAGGUGCAGCCCACACUUAAGGGAUGGGAUUGACGUACUGCUUCUUUGAGAGCAGAGUAUCUACAGAAAUGAUUUGAAAUUCUUCUGCACAAAAAAGACUAAAAAGAGAUUUGUCCCUUCUCCCCCAUUUAUCUAUUUAUUGAAUUAUUUUUAUCAGUAGAGACUUACGGAUUUUUUUUUUAGUUUGGGUUAUAAGCCAAUGCUCUUCUAUUUUGUUUAUCAAAUUGUUGCAUAUAUGGCUAUGGGAACUAACACUCUAUUUCAGAGUGAUCCCAGACUCACGGGCUAGCCUACAAGGGACAGGUGUGACGGGAACAGCUCAGCUUUCCCCGGGCCUGCCUCCCUCCCAAGCACAUAUGUUAUCCACAUGAUCUGUUCCAGUUUUUCAGGGAUUGGCACUGGGACUUGGGGCAUUGGCUUAGCAGAACAGCGUGUGUCCCUUUGCUAGACCUGUCCACUGUGUGUCUGCAAGUCCCUGGAUUUUCAUCAAGUUGCUGUGAAAAGAAGACAAACAGAUUCAGGAAUAGAAGAUCUCCCUGACCACCAUCAGCAUCCUGCACUUUUCCUUCCUAUACAGUGGACAUCCACUCACUACAGCAGGUGAACAGGAGCAAAGAUCAACUCAGGCAUGCGCAGAUCAGAGGCCAUGUCAGGACAGUGAGAAGGCAGCUGCCUGAAAGCCACAAAGAGAGGCCUCACCAGAACCAGUCCUAUUGGUGCCUUAAUCUUAGACUUCUCAUCUCUAUAACUGUAAGAAAACUAAUUUCUGUUAUUUAAGCCACCCAGUUUGUAUGAUAUUUUGUUAUGGCAGCUUGAGUAGAAUAACACACAUAUUGUCUUCCAUAUUGUCAGAAAAGUCUCUUUUACCAUAAAUUAAUUUUGAUUUUGUUAUCAUUUCACAAGCAUUUGUUGUUCAAAGCCAUAGUUUCAUGUGCUGUACUAGACACUGGAGAUACAAGGCAGAAUGAGGCCUUGGAGCAUGUAUAAGCUAGUCCAGAGAUGGCAAAUACAGGGCUCUUAGCACCUUCCAGUCCCUCCCAGGUCCCAGCUGCUAAUUGAGAACAACACAAUUCCCCAUGGAAUUGAACAUUACAAUCCUGCUAAACAUAGAAUAAGUGCCAAAUGAUCAGAUUUACAAUGUACC